GGUUUUCCAGUGUAAGCAACUUCCAUUGUACUUCCCAGUCCUCCAUGGGUAACAAAUAAUUUCACACGUUUGUCGGCAAGCAAAGAAGGCUGUGGAACCCAUUUCUUCAAGUGAACAUUUUUUGGGAGUCUCUUCUGGAAUUCCACGUC
Molecule: non-coding RNA, 149 nt
Organism: Caenorhabditis elegans
Lineage: Eukaryota; Metazoa; Nematoda; Chromadorea; Rhabditida; Rhabditidae
Source: Ensembl